CCUGAUCACUUGAUUCCAGAUAUAGCCGGCGCCGAGAGAGCAACGCUCGACCAUGGACCUUUCCUCCGGCAAUCAAAUUCUUACAACCCAGAGAGUCAUACUCAAUCAGGACAAAUCCCAAAAAUAUUUUUUUGCUACCUGUUUUUUUUUAAUACCGGUGCACACGAGGUCUUGAUGCAGCCCAUCAAAUAGCAUGUUUUACUGUCGUUUCAUCCCGAGUCAAUAUAAAUCAUAAUAUCGACAAUUUAGAAAAUGAUAUAUAAAUAGCAAGCAAUUUAACUACUGUUCAAUAACUUAUUAAAUAAUAUUGAACAACACAUAUUUUGCAGAUGUAAACUUAAUUAACUAAAUAAACAGUAAAUAGAUAAUUAAUUCCAUAAAAUGAUUAUUUGGAUGAAUAAUAAAUAACUAAUAUAAAAUUUAUAAAUCAAUCAAUUGGAUAAAUAAUAAAUAAAUAAUUUAAAUCUAUAAAUCAAUUAAUUAAAUAUAGAAUAAGAAUUAAUAAAAAAUUUCCAGCAAGGAGCAGAUUGUGGAGCGUCGCAGAACUAUGAAAUAAAGUCAUAUAUCCUCUAUACACGUAUCAUGCAAAGUUUUCUAUAUAGCAAUUUCGACUAAUAAUUAUUACGUAUAUUAUUAUCAUCGUGUAUAUAUAUAUAUAUAUAUAUAUAUAUAUAUAUAUAUAUAUAUAUAUAUAUAUAUAUAUAUAUACAACAAAAUAAUUCUAUUAGAUCUAAUGUACUUUUUCGAUCUAAUAAGUACCUUGUGUCAGAAUUGAGAAAUUCUAUGGCUCGAAUCUUUAGUAUUCUCUUAUUUAUUACCUGCGUCUACUCUUUAGGCAGAAUACCGUCACCCAUUUUUACUAAGAAACUGAAAGAAACGGAAGAAACGGAAGAAAGGGAGGAAAGUGAGGAAGAAACAGAUGUAGAAAUAGAAACAACUUUCGAAACAAAGGGGACUAAACAGGGAUCUACGUCUUGGGUAGAGCUGGCUGGACGGACGGGUUAUCUAUUCACGAAAAUAACUUAAUUAAUAAGAUAUUCAUAAUUUUUUAUAGGCCGAAACUCAUAGAUUAGACUGUCUAAGAGAUUUUGACUCAAAAUUCUAAUGAAAAUUUGAUAGAACUUUCCCUAAAAUAUGGACGUUUACCUCCCGUACAACGGGUCCAAAAUCUGCGAGAAACACUUCAAAUAUUCCAUAAUUAUUUAACGGGAGUUGGGCCACCCAAACUGCAUUAUUUUAUGACUCUGUAAUACAACUCAAAUCAUAAUACAAAAUCAACAGUUCGGCAAAAAUAAUAAUAUUAUUCCCGAUACAAUCACAUAAUUAUUUCCUCACAUUUAAUUUAAUUAAUCACAACCUCAAUUUACAUAACAUAAUAUUAACUCCUUUUAUAAUUAAUCUACAGUAAUUCUAGAAUCAUGCUACUAAUGAAUUAAAUAUUUUAAUUAAUUAAUUAUAACUAAUAAUUAAUAAACCAAAUAUUUUCUAAUAAUUCUAAAUUAAUUUUCAAAGUCUAAAUAAAAUUAUACCGAGCAGAAAUCCGAACUUCUGUGCGUCCAAAAAACACCAGAGUCUGAAAGCCGGUACCUCCAACGGUGUCAGAUUUCGAAUCGAGAGACGCCUACGCAAGCCCGAGUUAUGGGGAGUCUAAAUAUGCAAAUUUCUUCGCCUGAAACUCGCCGGAAGUCACUGGAUCGAGGCUGAAAAAUUUCACUCCAGUGAGGCUCACCCACUACUGUUGGCGAAGGAAAAGCAAUAGGGAAGCAAUAGGGAAGGGUUGCCUUGGGUUUUUUAGGGUCCAAGAAUCUGUUUCCAGCAUCAGAUUGGUGAAGAGACGUCGACAAGAGGCUAUUUCGGCAGGAACAAUGGAUGAGUCGACUUUUCCUCCUUGCUGCGGUGGGGAACGACAAAAAGGAGGGAGAGAGUGACGUCACCAACGAGAAAUGGAAGAGGGGAGGAAAGUUAGGUGGCUGGCAACGAUGUGGUAUGGUCGGAAAUGGGAGGGAGUGAGGAAAACGGAAGAAGAGGGUGGCAGGGAGAGAAAAGAAGGAGGAGAGAACAAUUUUUGUGUUAUGUUAUUAUUUUAUUAUUUUUUUAAAAUAAAAGAUGAAAAAAAUGCAAAUGAGGCCUUCUUCAAAAAGUUGCUACAAUG
RNAcentral lists this long non-coding RNA (2152 nucleotides) under Ricinus communis (castor bean). RNAcentral's name for it is "long non-coding RNA (RCOM_LNC000170)". Lineage: Eukaryota; Viridiplantae; Streptophyta; Magnoliopsida; Malpighiales; Euphorbiaceae. The record is from RNAcentral.